Molecule: long non-coding RNA, 1142 nt
Filed under: Strigops habroptila (Kakapo)
Lineage: Eukaryota; Metazoa; Chordata; Aves; Psittaciformes; Psittacidae
Description: lncRNA (ENSSHBG00005021035.1)
Source: RNAcentral
UUUUAUUGGGUUUGAUUAGAAAUAACGGUGCCUAAGCUUGCACAUUUCUAACCACACAAAGUAAGAAGUGGGGAUAUUCAAGCUUUACGAAUAAAUCAAUAAAUUGUAUUAGCAGAAAAACUUUAAAUCUAGUAGGUUUUAAAUUACUCUAUCCCUUAAGAAGCUCUAAUGUUAGAUUCAGCUGCAGAUUUCCUUUUAUUCAUAGGCCCGGCCAGGCUCGUACUUUUCUUGUAUAAAAUACACAGAGGGUCUAAUACUUUUGUUAUUAAAACUUCACCCUACAGCAAUUCAGAACAACUCAAAGUCCAAGUGCAAAACACGGUCAAGGCGUUAUUUCAGUCUUAAACCCCAAACCCCUGGUGAUGCUUCUAAGAAAGCAGAGACGAGCAGAGAACGGCUGAGGCAGCCCCGAAGCGAAAACGUUUUGGUUCUAGAAGCCAUAAUGUGGAAACACGAACAAACACUUUGCAUCAGAUAUCUUAAAAGAGUUGUAAAGAAUCAUAAAAGACACUGUAUUUUGUCCUCCUAUGUUUUCUUAAGGCUGAUUUCAUGGUUGUAAACCGGGUUACAGCUAGUUGAACAGUAAUAAUUCUCAAUAACGUUUACAACUAUGUGCACAGCGCCAGUCAAGACAGAGCCGGGAAGGCUCCGAGCCCGGGUUCCAUGAAACCCUCACAGUCACCCCCCUUCCCUGCACCUAAACGUUGGUGCUUCCAGAAGCGGGGAAACUAAAAGGACAAAGGCACCGGUAGCCCCAGGGCGAGGGCAGCGGGUCCGUGACUGUCUCUGUGCUCAGUGAGAUACUGUUUAAUCCGGUGUCACCGCCGAGCCCCGCAAGACACGGUCCCGGGAACCGAAAACGGAGCUCAGCAGAGUUCUGCCGCCGCUGUCAAACGCCGCUUCACUGAGAGAAAAGCGGCACCGUCCCACCGGGGCAUCCGCACCGGCACCGUCCCACCGGGCACACGAUCGCUCCCGCACCGGCACCGUCCCACCGGGCACACGAUCGCUCCCGCACCGGCACCGUCCCACCGGCCACACGAUCGCUCCCGCACCGGCACCGUCCCACCGGCCACACGAUCGCUCCCGCACCGAGCCCGCGCCGGCAGCGCCCCAGCCCGCCCGGAGCCCGGCAGCCGCCC